Molecule: ribosomal RNA, 463 nt
Filed under: uncultured bacterium
Lineage: Bacteria
Description: partial 16S ribosomal RNA
Rfam family: Bacterial small subunit ribosomal RNA
Source: RNAcentral
GAUGAACGCUGACAGAAUGCUUAACACAUGCAAGUCUUUGGCGAAUCUGUGCUUGCACCGGCUAGCCAAGGCGGACGGGUGAGUAACGCGUAAAGAACUUGCCCUGCAGACAGGGAUAACAGACGGAAACGACUGAUAACACCUGAUACAGUUGCCGGCACGCAUGUGCCUGGCAAUGAAAAGAGAUGCUGCAGGAGAGCUUUUCGUCCUAUUAGCUUGUUGUUGAGGUGACGGCUCACCAAGGCGAUGAUAGGUAGCCGGCCUGAGAGGGUGAACGGCCACAAGGGGACUGAGAUACGGCCCUUACUCCUACGGGAGGCAGCAGUGGGGAAUAUUGGACAAUGGGGGCAACCCUGAUCCAGCAAUUCUGUGUGCACGAAGAAGGUUUUCGGAUUGUAAAGUGCUUUCAGCAGGGAAGAAGAAAGUGACGGUACCUGCAGAAGAAGCGACGGCUAAAUACGUG